This 82-nucleotide transfer RNA is filed under the name Euglena deses. Its description in RNAcentral is "tRNA-Tyr". It matches the Rfam family "tRNA". From Rfam's summary of the family: Transfer RNA (tRNA) molecules are approximately 80 nucleotides in length. Their secondary structure includes four short double-helical elements and three loops (D, anti-codon, and T loops). The record is from RNAcentral. Lineage: Eukaryota; Euglenozoa; Euglenophyceae; Euglenales; Euglenaceae.
GAGUCAUUGUCUGAGUGGUUAAUAGAGGCGGAUUGUAAAUCCGCUAGCUUUGCUUGCGCUGGUUCGAAUCCAGCAUGGCUCA